This is a long non-coding RNA of Malaya genurostris, 3259 nucleotides long. RefSeq lists it as uncharacterized. Lineage: Eukaryota; Metazoa; Arthropoda; Insecta; Diptera; Culicidae. The record is from RefSeq and is a predicted model, not a curated record. The transcript is spliced from 5 exons.
UUAAAUGACUAAAUGAUUACAAUUAUGCAAGUGAUGCAAAAUUCUCACAAUCAAUCAACUAGUACGUGCGUUUAUUGAUAUUUGAAUGUGUGGAAAAAGCAUGUCAGUUUCAUUAUGAAUUACCGAAAAUCAAAUUCAUCUCUGACAUUUGUUGAUGGUUUGAUUACUCUUGAAUAACAUGAAAUGACAUGGAACAGAAUCGAAUGUGUAAACAAGUCACUGAUACCUGUCAAGCAAUAUUAAAUCAAUUCAUUUGGUCAGAUAAUGUCAAAUUCUUGAAAAUUCGAAUAAGAAUCUUCACGAUAUUUGAGAAAAUUAAAAGAUAAUUGAUAUUACCGGUAUCCAUCUAAUUAGUGGUGAAGCAGGAUCCUCUUCAAUCGAUCCUCCUUCUGAACUUCGUUUGAUACCUCUGUUGUUAAGCUUAAGCAUUAUACGAAGACAUCCGCGUAGACCAUCUGAAAUGGGAAUUUAAGAUAGGUAAUCUCAAAUAUACAAAUUUAGAGUGAUUCGGAAGGCAAACAUUUUUAAAAUGAGAUUGCUGCACAAGGAUUCGUAAUAAACGCAAUAAGAUAUAUCGUUGGGCGUUUAAUAAAGAUUCCAAAUCUUUCCGUAUGUGUCAGUUAUACGCAUUCUCGAUUUGAGACAAAAUAUUUGAGAUGCUUUUACUUACCAUCUUCAAUUCUUUCGAAGGUAUUAUUACCAAACAGUAAUCCUUUGGCGAAGAUGGAUUUCAAAUCGAUAUUUUUAUUAUAGCUAUCAUACAGGGCUUCAAAAAAUGCUGAACCCGUGAAAAAUGUUAUACAUGUCAAAAUAGCAUAGAAAAUAUUUAUCAAACUUACAGAUAUUUAGUUUCAAAUUGUGAUUGAAAAGAUUUGUUAUAAAUUUCGUAUUGAUUUCACAGAAUGAAAAUGAACACUUAUCAAUUUUCCAUUAUACGAUCGAAAAUGUGGAAACGUAGUCAUAAUCUCUUUUGCACUUCCCUUCCGAGCAACUAAUGUUGUAUGAAGUUUAACACAUUGGAGCAUGCUGUCUCGAAUGAAAAUGAAGUUGGCUGUAGUUGCUUCUUUUUUGGCACAUUUUUUAGCCACACCAAUCAUUUCAGGAUCAUCUACCAGCGAAAUCAUACGUCGUCUGUACUUUUUGAGUUCAGUGGGUACUUUGUUAGCUAGGUUUCUAAUAUGUCUCUGUAUAUAACCAGUAUGUUCAUGACCAGUUCCUUUUCCACCGUUCGCAUAAAAAAGCAGACUGCAAAAACAAAUAAUAGUACUAUCAUUAGCGAAGGUGUGUUUGAGAGUAAAAAUCCUUCGCUCAAUGCUCGGCGGCAAAGUAUGGAGAAUGGCGAAGACGCAUGAAUCACGUAUUGUAGCAAUUAUACAAACAUACUGACAUUGGGAGACUGAUAAAACACGACAGACUACAGUGGGCUGGACAUGUAGCAAGAAUACCGGAAUAUAGAAUGGCCUAUAUUAUGCUUAGCAGAGAACCUGGGGAAGGUCGUCUAUUGAAGAAUCCAACGAAAAAUGACCACCCGCGUCGCUGCUGUAGUGAUGACUGAUGAAAAUUUCUAAAGUUAGGAAGAUUGGAAUGUGGAAAAAAAUCGAUCCACUUCAAAAUGGAUAUUGAACCGAGGCGGUUUUGUAUCGUGCCGAGAUGUCAUUCUACUGGAAAUAAGUUGUUUCGAGUUCCCAAACCCUGUAGUAAAGUAUUUAAACGAUGGCAAAAAAAAUCUGACAAUAACAGGUUAUGGUGAUGAAUUUAUUUGUGAAAAACAUUUCAAGUCCGAUGAUUUCGUCGAAAAUACGAGGAGAAAAUUGAAACUAUCCGCAAUGCCUACAUUAAAGCUGCCUUCCGUUUCUAAAAAGAUAACGGUACAGUCAGGAUGUUGCAUAACAGAUUGUACUUCCAAGCGUGUCGGGUAUAUGGAAAAAUUUCCUCAGAAAAAGACAUCUUCGUUCCGGAAAUGGUUAACACUUCUAGGAAUCACAUCGGAAGAAGUAUUGAAAAAUUCUAUAUAUAUUUGUCGGAAGCAUUUUUCAUUGACUGAUUACGUAACUGUACGAUAUCGUUAUUUGAAGAUAAACGCUAUUCCCACUAAAAAACUUGUGAGAGUUAUUAAGACACCAUCUUUGUACCGAAGAGAAGUUCGAUAUAUGCCUACAACAAUACAAAUAGAUCAUAAUUAUUGUAAGGAAAAUUUAAAACCUAGAAGCAAUCGUUUCUGUUCUGUACCAGGAUGUACAGUGAAAAGCUCAAAAGGAAUCUUUCUACACAAAUUUCCGGAAAACGAAAAAUUUUCAAUAGCCUGGACAGUUGCUAUCAAAGCAAUGCAUCAUCCUACCAAAAAUUCUUAUGUUUGCAACCAGCACUUUCACACGAGUGAUUAUAUUCCAGGUAUUACAUUUCGAAAUAAAGACAUUGAAUUAACUAAUUCAGUCAUCCUCUAGGACGUAAGAUACUAAAGAAUUCAGCUGUACCCAGUUGCAAAUUACCUUUAACCUCAUUAUAAAAAACAAAAUCAGUACGAGACAAAUAUAAUCCAUACAAAAGAUCGUUUAAAAGUUACCGGAAACAAAAGUGUAAUUAUUCUAGUCUGGACCCCGACAGUUGCACUGAGCAAAAGGGAAGUAUUGACCAUACAGUAACUGAACUCAAGGCAAAUGGGAAUUAUUGUGUUUUUGAAGAGAAAUCAGUUAGCGCAAAAGAGGCUGAAGCGUUGAAAAUUUUAUCAGAGUUUCCAUUUAGUAACCACAGAUUAAACAGUCUGCGUGUUGAAGGAAACAAAAACGAGGGCAAUAUAUCGGCCGAUGUCAAUAAAGCCAUUCAAGAACUGCAACGUAAAAGAGAAACCAUUCUUAGUGACUUGUUACUAACAGACAAAGAUAUAAAUAUUUGGACGGGGAUACCAUCGUUGUGUUUAUUGGAAGUCGUAUGUACAACGGUCAGUAAUCUUGAAGAAAAUGUUUACAACGGAAAAUUCAAAAUGCAUGCCACUGAUCGGGUUAUUCUUACACUGUCUAAUGGAAUUCGAUUACACAUACCCCCAAUAAUGCAAGGAGAGCGAUAUUCUAUAGAUAAAGCAUUGCUCAAUGAAUCGAUAGCAAAGGCGAGAAUCCACGUCGAGCGCGCUAUAUCUCGUAUGAAAAAGUUCGGAGUACUACAACGAAAUUUAGACGCCAGUACAUUGAAACACAUUGAUGGUAUCUUGAAGGUUAUCUGUGGAAUUGUGAAUCUAUCGGCACCAAUCUUACGCGAUGAUAAA